RNAcentral lists this ribosomal RNA (528 nucleotides) under uncultured bacterium. Its description in RNAcentral is "bacterial SSU rRNA". It matches the Rfam family "Bacterial small subunit ribosomal RNA", at positions 777 to 1304 of the family's 1533-position model. The record is from RNAcentral.
AAUAGAUACCCUGGUAGUCCACGCCGUAAACGAUGAGUGCUAAGUGUUAGGGGGUUUCCGCCCCUUAGUGCUGCAGCUAACGCAUUAAGCACUCCGCCUGGGGAGUACGGUCGCAAGACUGAAACUCAAGGGAAUUGACGGGGGCCCGCACAAGCGGUGGAGCAUGUGGUUUAAUUCGAAGCAACGCGAAGAACCUUACCAGGUCUUGACAUCCCGCUGACCGCUAUGGAGACAUAGCUUUCCCUUCGGGGACAGCGGUGACAGGUGGUGCAUGGUUGUCGUCAGCUCGUGUCGUGAGAUGUUGGGUUAAGUCCCGCAACGAGCGCAACCCUUGUCCUUAGUUGCCAUCAUUCAGUUGGGCACUCUAAGGAGACUGCCGUACAAAUACGGAGGAAGGUGGGGAUGACGUCAAAUCAUCAUGCCCCUUAUGACCUGGGCUACACACGUGCUACAAUGGACGGUACAAACGGUUGCGAAGUCGCGAGGCGGAGCCAAUCCGAGAAAGCCGUUCUCAGUUCGGAUUGCAGG